CACGUAGGCGGUCUGUCAGGUCAGAGGUGAAAUCCCCCGGCUUAACCGGGGAACGGCCUUUGAAACCGGCAGACUGGAGUGGAAGAGGGGAGAGUGGAACUGGCAGUGGAGCGGUGAAAUGCGUAGAUAUUGCCAGGAACGCCGGUGGCGAAAGCGACUCUCUGGCUUCUAACUGACGCUGAGGUGCGAAAGCCAGGGGAGCAAACAGGAUUAGAUACCCUGGUAGUCC
Molecule: ribosomal RNA, 229 nt
Filed under: uncultured bacterium
Lineage: Bacteria
Description: partial 16S ribosomal RNA
Rfam family: Bacterial small subunit ribosomal RNA
Source: RNAcentral